Daphnia pulex (common water flea) is the source of this 2765-nucleotide RNA transcript. It is a transcript of the gene named activating signal cointegrator 1 complex subunit 1-like, with no coding region annotated. NCBI's taxonomy places the organism in Eukaryota, Metazoa, Arthropoda, Branchiopoda, Diplostraca, Daphniidae. The transcript has 10 exons. The record is from RefSeq and is a predicted model, not a curated record.
UGUACCAUUUAAAUACUCUGCUUCUUAGAUUUGAACUCAAACAUGGAUGUAAUUCAACCUAAAUUCAUCUGGAUUGAUAACAGAUGCUACCGUAAAAAUCCACUUUCUUCAUUGUAUUGUGAUGGGAAUAAUGUUCCUUUGACAGAUAUUGAAGAGAAAGGAAAACAUCUGGGAUCAUUUGAAACUUCUGAGUAUGAUGACGAAGGGGACGCUUGUGAAUUGGUAAAUGUACCAAUGGAGCAACUUGGAGAUGGAAGAUUUCGUGUGAAGAUGAACAUAGCAAGUGAAUAUCAUUCAAAAAUAAUUGGGAGAAACGGAGAUUCUAAGCGGCAAAUUGAAAGAGAUACCAGGGUCCAGUUAUUUAUUCCUAAGAAAGGCCAAUCUGGGGAUGUUGCUAUUACUGGGAUGAAUCCUAAGGACGUCACAUCUGCGUUUGUACGGAUCAGUCUUAUAGUAUCGAACGCGCGAAAGCGAAUGCCGUUCACACAUUUUGUGUCAAUACCUCUUACCACUCCUGAAAUCAAAACUCGGUUUCUCCAAUUCAAAAAUGAUGUGCUUCGAUUCUCGCGAGGUGCCAUUGAAGAUGACUUGUUUCAAAAUCCUGAUAAACUUCAUUUAACGAUUGGAACCCUAGUGCUUCUCACCAACAACGACAGAAUUCAAGCUGCACAAUCGCUCCAAAAUUGCAAAAGUCGUAUAAGAGAUAUAAUUGGAUCAGCUCCUAUUGAAAUCGAAAUUCGAGGAGUAGAGUACAUGAACGACGACCCGUCGAAGGUAGACGUCCUGUACGGGCGGUGCAUUGAAAACUCUGGCCGUCUUCAGCAAUUGGCUGAUGUCGUAGUGAAUUCACUGGAAGCUGAUGGCUUGUUGGAUCGUCAGUAUGAACGCGUGAAGCUGCACGCUACACUAAUGAACUCACUAUUCAAAGUUAAAGAUGAUUCAGAAGAAAAUGUGCGUUCCACAUUCAAUGCUAAGCCCAUAUUAGAGAACUGGAAAGAUUACAGUUUCGGCUCUGUGACAGUCGAUGACAUUCAUCUUUCGCAGCGAUAUUCAACCUCUCAAUCUACGAAAUAUUACGUGGCUAGCUCACAAAUGGCUUUGAAUCAAGACUUAUGAUUUCCAUCCAACAUCAAUCACUUUGAGCUUGCUGAGGUUGAUUACCAGAACAGUGAUGUUAUCCACCGAUCCCCGCUGGUAAGCUUGCAUAGCUAGACUCUUGGCGCCAAGAUGCGGUUCGUGUAGUCGCUGGCGAACGUAAAAAGCGGCCUCUUCAUUGCUGAAAGCGUCCCACAGACCGUCACUUGCAAGGAUUAGGAAGCUAGGCUGGUGAAGUCGGAGAUCGUAAAGAUCAAAAGAAAAGGGAAGUCGCCUAGAGCUCGAGAAGUUGCUAGAAUUCCGGCUACUCUCCACACACCAUUGAAAGAUAUAAACCCACCGGCCUCUUGGAUGCGCUUCCGUUCCUUCAACUGUUGACCGAUUUUAAGAUGAAUGGUGUUUAACCUCGUCAGACAAACUGCAUUCUUACUUCGCCUCCGUGACCGUCAUAAAUAGCGAAGAGAUUGAGCGGCGUGUUUCCCAGCUUUUCGACCAGAGUGAAUCUAUCCUCCAUUUUGGGCCGUCUGCCUUGUAGCGCAAAACAAGCCGAUUGCUGCGAAGUCGACCGAAGAUCCCACGUAGAGCCGGGGCUUUUCAUGUGUAAAUUAAGUAAGUCGCCCUUGCGAACGGGUCCAAGGGUGAGGAUCAUCCUGGUGACAUACGUUUUCACCUUUCGAACUAGCCUUCGUAAAAUUCUUGACAGCAACAGAGUCCAGCCUUGAAUGCGUUCGUUACGUGCAGCCGCUCCAAUCAAACCAAGGGCGAAGAGACCCAAUAUCAAGGGUAUGAAGUUGAAACUGUUGCUGCUGCCGUUCCUGUCGGCUCCAUACACGGGCGGUUCGUCCACCAAAUUUUGCAAUUCGAUUGACAAGUUUGGCAAUUCAAUUUGAUCGAUAUCGGCUCGUAUUCCUUUAAUAGAACGGGCUGAUAGUCGCAUCAGGAUCGAGCAGGCCUCGUAGAGCACAUCCGACUCUGUAGAGUCAUCCAUGGCUGUGGCUCAGUAAGUUUUCAUGGGCGGAGAAGUAAGCACUUUUGCACAGAAAAACAAAAAUCAACAAUAAACAGGGGAAAAGAGGCGGAAGCGGAAGCAAGAGACGACGAGACUACAGCCGCUGGGAACAGUUGUCUUUCCGUCUUGAAACUGAAUUUGUAAAAUGUGGUUGGUUGCUAACGUUUCUUCGGGACAAGUCUUUUCUCCAGACUUAACGUCGAAUGCCAGAAAGAAGAGGGGUUAUUUUUAUCCUCGGUAGCAAGAACUUGGAAGAAGAAAGAAAGAAAAAAGAUAGGAAAAAGCCGCCCACUUAUCCCCGCCCGGUCUUCGGAUUCUGCUCACAUAUCACCGCACACAACUUUCCCACUAGAAUGUUGAGUUUUGAGAAAUUAUUUCAUUUUACUUUGAAAAGACAAAUUGAUUCUGCUUAACAGUCAUUUUAAGAAAGAAAUGUUUGGAGUAAUAGCAACUGUUUUCUAAAAAACAAACAACUAUUGUUCAAUGUUUACCUGAUUAUCGUCUGUUCGUCAAUCGUCAAGUGGCGUCCAACAAGCGAUAGCUUAUCAAGCGACUCCAUGUGACCCCUCGUUUGCUUCUAGCAACUAGCCACGUAAGCGUCCUCCCGUGUCCCGUCCUGUAUGAACUAAUGCGAUAACGAUUUUUCAUUGAAUUUUUUAAA